UGAAAUCAAUUUCAUGGCUGCAGCCAGCA
This 29-nucleotide non-coding RNA is filed under the name Mus musculus (house mouse). The record is from RNAcentral. Lineage: Eukaryota; Metazoa; Chordata; Mammalia; Rodentia; Muridae.